AGACGGAGGGUGCAAGCGUUACUCGGAAUCACUGGGCGUAAAGCGCGCGCAGGCGGCUAUUUAAGUUGGAUGUGAAAGCCUACGGCUCAACCGUAGAACUGCAUCCAAAACUAUUUAGCUAGAGUGUGGGAGAGGAAGAUGGAAUUAGUUGUGUAGGGGUAAGAUCCGUAGAGAUAACUAGGAAUACCAAAAGCGAAGGCAAUCUUCUGGAACACUACUGACGCUGAGGCGCGAAAGCGUGGGGAGCAAACAGGAUUAGAAACCCGAGUAGUCC
Molecule: ribosomal RNA, 274 nt
Filed under: uncultured bacterium
Lineage: Bacteria
Description: partial 16S ribosomal RNA
Rfam family: Bacterial small subunit ribosomal RNA
Source: RNAcentral